Molecule: non-coding RNA, 71 nt
Filed under: Rhodovastum atsumiense
Lineage: Bacteria; Pseudomonadati; Pseudomonadota; Alphaproteobacteria; Acetobacterales; Acetobacteraceae
Description: terC
Rfam family: terC RNA
Source: RNAcentral
AACACGGUCCGGGCCCCUCUGGCAGGGACGUCGGCUUGCGCCGGCCAACCCUGCGAUGUCGGAUCACCGCG